This 497-nucleotide ribosomal RNA is filed under the name uncultured bacterium. RNAcentral's name for it is "partial 16S ribosomal RNA". It matches the Rfam family "Bacterial small subunit ribosomal RNA", at positions 28 to 507 of the family's 1533-position model. The record is from RNAcentral.
GAUGAACGCUGGCGGCGUGCCUAAUACAUGCAAGUCGAGCGAACAGACGAGGAGCUUGCUCCUUCGACGUUAGCGGCGGACGGGUGAGUAACACGUAGGUAACCUACCUAUAAGACUGGGAUAACUUCGGGAAACCGGAGCUAAUACCGGAUAAUAUUUCGAACCGCAUGGUUCGAUAGUGAAAGAUGGCUUUGCUAUCACUUAUAGAUGGACCUGCACCGUAUUAGCUAGUUGGUAAGGUAACGGCUUACCAAGGCAACGAUACGUAGCCGACCUGAGAGGGUGAUCGGCCACACUGGAACUGAGACACGGUCCAGACUCCUACGGGAGGCAGCAGUAGGGAAUCUUCCGCAAUGGGCGAAAGCCUGACGGAGCAACGCCGCGUGAGUGAUGAAGGUCUUCGGAUCGUAAAACUCUGUUAUUAGGGAAGAACAAACGUGUAAGUAACUGUGCACGUCUUGACGGUACCUAAUCAGAAAGCCACGGCUAACUACGUG